Non-coding RNA from Callithrix jacchus (white-tufted-ear marmoset), 3266 nucleotides. The record is from RefSeq and is a predicted model, not a curated record. Lineage: Eukaryota; Metazoa; Chordata; Mammalia; Primates; Cebidae.
CCCGCCGCCCAACCUCCCGGCCCAGGAGUCCCAGGCUCUCGUGUCCUGGGUCCUGAGCCUCGGGCUGGGUCUUUUUCCCGCUGGACCCCUCCUGUCAUACCACGCUGGGACCCCCACAACCUCCGCGCCCUUCACCUCUGCUGUGCAGUAAUCGCGCGCGUGCAAGAGAGGAGACCUGUCUACGCGCGGGGUCCUGGAGGAGGGGGUCGGAUCCUGGCACCAGCACCGAGCACGGGAGGGCGGGAUGACGUGCGGCAUCUCCAGGGCAAUGGCCAAUCCCAUGAAGGCGCCGGAAGACAAAAGUCUCCACCCGCACUCCUCGCAAGAUGGCGGGAGAAGGGUCGGGGGAGAUUGGCAGUUGCUAAGGUAAAUGACGCGCAGUGCCCCGGGACAGUGAUUGCUGCCUUCUCGGCUGCAGAAUUCCGGGCCAAGUCCGGAUAGGACUCCGAGCGGAACUGCAUUUCCCGCAAGCCUCUGCGCUGCCCCCACAGGCCUUUCCCACCGGUUCCCUCAGGCCCUAAGAAGGCGGGAAGAGGCGCUGUGUCCUGGGCCCCUCUGGAGCGCCCCACCUGGUGGGAGGAAUCCGGACACUGCGCGGGUCUGUAGAACCAUCGAGACCGCAGUCCUCCGGGCGCCCAGAGCGACGUACCCGGGAGUCUCUGAGGGACUAGCCGCUGGGCCUCGGCGCUUGAGUUCCGGGCGGGGUCGAGCUGUUGGUCCGGCCGCAAGAUGUGGCUCGGGCAGCCCGGAGAACCGCGGCCCGGUGUGGGCGACCGGUUGGGGCCACUGCAGCGUCAGCACCCGGGUCGGAGGCCGCUCAGAGGGCUGGCUCAGCGCCCGAGGAGCCACCCGUGACCCCACGCGGGAGAUUCCCUUUGCCGGUUGGAGGUCGGGGAGGGCGCCCUGCCCCGGCGGCUGCGAGUCUGCGUGGGCCCAGCCCGGGCCUCAGUGUUCCCUUCUGUAAAGUGUGGGUCACGCAGCCAUCCCACUUUAAAGCUUUCUGGAUACUCUGUCGGUUCCUCUCUAAACCAGGGUCUGCAAUGACAAGCCCUGUGAUGACCCGGAUGCCUCGAGACUCUAACGCUGGGAAUCUGGCGCACUCCAGGUUGCGAGGUGACGCACAACCGCCUCCUCCCUCUGGGCCUCCGCUUCCCCGUCUGCAAAACGGUCGGGAUGCCGCCGCCUUUCUAAGCUUGGUGCAAGGGCCGGCCGGGCGCCGUGGCUCUCUGGGAGGCCGAGGCUGGCGGAUCCCCUGCGGCCAGGCGUUCAAGCCUCGCCGGGCCAACCCCUCCCUCUCGGAAGCUCCCACGCGGAUUUGUCACUUACUUGGCUGGCUUUCGUCUGGUUUUUUGAGACAGGGGAUUUUCCGUUACCCUGGCUGGAGUGCAGUGGUGCGAUCGCGGCUCACUGACGCCUCCAUCUCCUGAGCUCAACCGAUCCCACCAACUCAGGCUCCCAAACUGCCGGGAUUGCAGGUGUGAGCCACCGCACCUGGCCGACUUCUCAUUGAUUGGAACGAUUCGACUGCACUCAGGCUCUCCGUGGGCCCCGGGAGGCAAGGCACUUAGCUCUAGGACGGUGCCUGGAUACUGUAAGGCCAACUUCUGUCAGGUCUUCAGAGUCCGUGGCCGCAGCUUUGGGGCUCACAGGUGGGCCCUAUUUUAGGGCCUGCCUUUGGUCACACGACAAACGUGGAACAUGUGGACACAAGAGACAUUGUGGACCUGAGUGUUCAUAACUGCUCCUUCCUGGCUGCUAUCAUGGACAAGUAAACCUCUUUUUUUUUUGAGACGGAGUUUCGCUUUCGUCGCUCAGGCUUGAGUGCAAUGGUGCGUUCUCCACUCACUGCAAUCUCUGCCUCCCUGGUUCAGUUCAUCUAAAACUGGUUAUUCGGGCCAGUAGCUCAUGCCUGUAUUCCCAGCACUUUGGGAGGCCAAGGGAGGAGGAUGACUUGAGGCUAGGAGUUCAAGACCACCCUGGGCAACACAGUGAGGCUCCAUCUCUACAAAAAAUUAAAAAAUUAGCUGGACGUGGUGGUGUACACCUGUAGCCUCAGCUGCUCAGGUGGAAGGCUGAGGUGGGAGGGUCCUUUAAGCCUAGGCGUUCAAGGUUGCAGAGAGCUAUAAUCACACCACUGCACUCCCACUUGGGAGGCAGUCAGACCCCCAUCUCUAAAAACAGAAAACAAAAAUGGUGUAGGGCACGAUGGCUCACGCCUGUAUUCCCAGCACUUUGGGAGGCUGAGGCAGGUGGAUCACGAAGUCAGGAGGUUGAGAUUAUCCCGAACAACAUGGUGAAACCCCACCUCUACUAAAAAUACAAAAAAUUAGCUGGGCAUGGUGGCACAUGUCUGUAGUCCCAGCUACUCGGGAGGCUGAGGCAGGGGAAUUGCUUGAACCAGGGCGGUGGGGGUUGCAGUGAGCUGAGAUCACACCCCUGCACUCCCUCUGAGCGACAGAGCAAGACUCCGUCUCAAAAACAAACAAAAACAGAAAUAGCUCCCUGAGAGUUGGAGGUUGUGGUGAGCCAAGAUUACGCCAUUGCACUCCAGCCUAGACAACAAGAAUGAAACUCUGUGAAAGAAAGGAAGGCUGGGCACGGUGGCUCAAGCCUGUAAUCCCAGCACUUUGGGAGGCCGAGGCGGGUGGAUCACGAGGUCAAGAGAUCGAGACCAUUCUGGUCAACAUGGUGAAACCCCGUCUCAACUAAAAAUACAAAAAAUUAGCUGGGCACAGUGGCGCGUGCCUGUAAUCCCAGCUACUCGGGAGGCUGAGGCAGGAGAAUUGCCUGAACCCAGGAGGCAGCGGUUGCGGUGAGCCGAGAUCGUGCCAUUGCACUCCAGCCUGGGUAACAAGAGCGAAACUCCGUGUCAAAAAAAAAAAAAAAAGAAAGAAAGAAAGAAAGAAAUCCCUGACAUCAACUCCUGGGCUCAAGGGUUCCUCCCACCUUAGCCUCCCCAGCAGCAGAGACUACAGGCACACACCAUCUGACCUGGCUAUUAUAAUUAUUACUGUAGAGAUGAGGUCUCCCUACAUUGCCCAGGCUGGUCUUGAACUCCUGGCCUCAAGCUAUUCUGCCUCCGCCUUCCAAAUAUCUGGAAUUAUAGGCAUGAGCCACCACACCUGGCCUGCAUCCUGUGUUUUCACGUGGUAACUUUAGUGUGGAGUCUUAGAUCCUCAGAGGGCUUUGUGAAAGCUGAACGGGGAAGAAGACUCAAGAGGCCCCUCGACUCCCACAUUAACUCAAACGUGAUUUACAUGAAUUCA